Molecule: unclassified non-coding RNA, 329 nt
Filed under: plant metagenome
Description: partial contains 5.8S ribosomal RNA, internal transcribed spacer 2, and large subunit ribosomal RNA
Rfam family: 5.8S ribosomal RNA (bases 1-105)
Source: RNAcentral
GAAAUGCGAUAAGUAAUGUGAAUUGCAGAAUUCCGUGAAUCAUCGAAUCUUUGAACGCACAUUGCGCCCUCUGGUAUUCCGGGGGGCAUGCCUGUCCGAGCGUCAUUGCGAACCCCUCAAGCACGGCUUGUGUGAUGGGCCCUCCCGCGUCUUGGUCGUCAAGACGGGCCCGAAAUGCAGUGGCGGCUUCGCGGUUAUCCGAUCAGCCAGAGCGUAUGGGGACUUUCUCUCUGUCACACGCCCGCGGCGCGGACCGACGCCUGUCGACCUUCAUUCAUCGUUUUCUCGGUUGACCUCGGAUCAGGUAGGGAUAUCCGCUGAACUUAGGC